This 293-nucleotide ribosomal RNA is filed under the name uncultured bacterium. RNAcentral describes it as "partial 16S ribosomal RNA". It matches the Rfam family "Bacterial small subunit ribosomal RNA", at positions 332 to 622 of the family's 1533-position model. The record is from RNAcentral.
UCGAGCCUACGGGACGCAGCAGUGAGGAAUAUUGGUCAAUGGGAGAGAUCCUGAGCCAGCCAAGCCGCGUGAGGGAAGACGGCCCUAUGGGUUGUAAACCUCUUUUGUCGGAGAACAAAACCCGGGACGAGUCCCGGACUGCGUGUAUCCGAAGAAAAAGCAUCGGCUAACUCCGUGCCAGCAGCCGCGGUAAUACGGAGGAUGCGAGCGUUAUCCGGAUUUAUUGGGUUUAAAGGGUGCGUAGGCGGUCCGUUAAGUCAGCGGUAAAAUUGAGGGGCUCAACCCCGUCGAGC